Molecule: unclassified non-coding RNA, 314 nt
Filed under: plant metagenome
Description: partial contains 5.8S ribosomal RNA, internal transcribed spacer 2, and large subunit ribosomal RNA
Rfam family: 5.8S ribosomal RNA (bases 1-105)
Source: RNAcentral
GAAAUGCGAUAAUUAAUGUGAAUUGCAGAAUUCAGUGAAUCAUCGAGUCUUUGAACGCACAUUGCGCCCCCUGGUAUUCCGGGGGGCAUGCCUGACCGAGCGUCAUUGCUGCCCUCAAGCACGGCUUGUGUGUUGGGCUUCCGUCCCUGGCAACGGGGACGGGCCCAAAAGGCAGUGGCGGCACCAUGUCUGGUCCUCGAGCGUAUGGGGCUUUGUCACCCGCUCCCGUAGGUCCAGCUGGCAGCUAGCCUCGCAACCAAUCUUUUUAACCAGGUUGACCUCGGAUCAGGUAGGGAUACCCGCUGAACUUAAGC